CAGAGCAGUGCCUGGGCUGCAGGGAAGGAGGCCAGCCUGAAGGGAUGGUUCUCCAGCAGAGCUUGGCAAUUCUAUCCACGAGUACUUUGGAGAGCUUAAAUUGGCUUUCUGCAAAUAUUGGUGGGCCUGAUCCAGAGCCCUUCUUGUUUGCAGGCCCAGAGAGUGCAGGCCCUGAGCAGCCCCAGCGCGACCAAGUGUUGUUUGUGCUUUAAUUUCGUAUUAAGCUUGCCACUCCGUGCAGUAGAGGUUCUGUCAUGUGAUAUUACUCCACACAGAGGGAAGCUGGAGCAGCCCUGCACGCUGCUUUACACCACUGGAAAACAUUGAGCUUUGGCUGUGGGAAGCUCGGAGUCAGGAGCUGCGCGGGUACAGGGGAGUCCCAUCACCUCAGCUUCACCCAUGUCCCUGCUUCUGCAGCAGCAGAAAUAUUCCUGUUGGGCAAUGCCAGAGUCCCAGGAGCGGCCUCAAAAGCAGGAGCACCAGGCUGUCGCCCGCUGAAUGCUCCGCUUCUCUGCUGGCGGCCGUUCCUUCCCCUCGCCCCAUACCGCACCGCCUCCACAAGACCACGGUGUUUAGGUGGGCAGUUACAGCACUGGGGAGCAAAGCACAGCCCGGAAGGGGAGAAGUAAAUAAACUGAGAUAUCAAGAUGAGUUAGUUCUUGUAGGUCCUACAAAUAAAGCACUUCUUAUGAACAACAUCUGAUUUUCCAUGUGUCAGGCCUAAAUUUAGUCAGAGGCGAUUUGUGGCAAAGCUGGUCCAAAGAUUUC
Molecule: long non-coding RNA, 768 nt
Filed under: Anser brachyrhynchus (Pink-footed goose)
Lineage: Eukaryota; Metazoa; Chordata; Aves; Anseriformes; Anatidae
Description: lncRNA (ENSABRG00000022100.1)
Source: RNAcentral